CAAGCCUGAUGCAGCGACGCCGCGUGCGGGAUGACGGCCUUCGGGUUGUAAACCGCUUUUGACUGGGAGCAAGCCCUUCGGGGUGAGUGUACCUUUCGAAUAAGCACCGGCUAACUACGUGCCAGCAGCCGCGGUAAUACGUAGGGUGCAAGCGUUAUCCGGAAUUAUUGGGCGUAAAGGGCUCGUAGGCGGUUCGUCGCGUCCGGUGUGAAAGUCCAUCGCUUAACGGUGGAUCCGCGCCGGGUACGGGCGGGCUUGAGUGCGGUAGGGGAGACUGGAAUUCCCGGUGUAACGGUGGAAUGUGUAGAUAUCGGGAAGAACACCAAUGGCGAAGGCAGGUCUCUGGGCCGUCACUGACGCUGAGGAGCGAAAGCGUGGGGAGCGAACAGGAUUAGAUACCCUGGUAGUCCACGCCGUAAACGGUGGAUGCUGGAUGUGGGGACCAUUCCACGGUCUCCGUGUCGGAGCCAACGCGUUAAGCAUCCCGCCUGGGGAGUACGGCCGCAAGGCUAAAACUCAAAGAAAUUGACGGGGGCCCGCACAAGCGGCGGAGCAUGCGGAUUAAUUCGAUGCAACGCGAAGAACCUUACCUGGGCUUGACAUGUUCCCGACAGCCGUAGAGAUACGGUCUCCCUUCGGGGCGGGUUCACAGGUGGUGCAUGGUCGUCGUCAGCUCGUGUCGUGAGAUGUUGGGUUAAGUCCCGCAACGAGCGCAACCCCCGCCCUGUGUUGCCAGCACGUCGUGGUGGGAACUCACGGGGGACCGCCGGGGUCAACUCGGAGGAAGGUGGGGAUGACGUCAGAUCAUCAUGCCCCUUACGUCCAGGGCUUCACGCAUGCUACAAUGGCCGGUACAACGGGAUGCGACACCGCGAGGUGGAGCGGAUCCCUUAAAACCGGUCUCAGUUCGGAUUGGAGUCUGCAACCCGACUCCAUGAAGGCGGAGUCGCUAGUAAUCGCGGAUCAGCAACGCCGCGGUGAAUGCGUUCCCGGGCCUUGUACACACCGCCCGUCAAGUCAUGAAAGUGGGUAGCACCCGAAGCCGGUGGCCCAACCUUUUGGGGGGAGCCGUCUAAGGUGAGACUCGUGAUUGGGACUAAGUCGUAACAAGGUAGCCGUACCGGAAGGUGCGGCUG
RNAcentral lists this ribosomal RNA (1136 nucleotides) under human gut metagenome. Its description in RNAcentral is "bacterial SSU rRNA". It matches the Rfam family "Bacterial small subunit ribosomal RNA", at positions 378 to 1520 of the family's 1533-position model. The record is from RNAcentral.